Molecule: long non-coding RNA, 3612 nt
Filed under: Musa acuminata (dwarf banana)
Lineage: Eukaryota; Viridiplantae; Streptophyta; Magnoliopsida; Zingiberales; Musaceae
Description: long non-coding RNA (MACU_LNC005674)
Source: RNAcentral
ACCAUAAAGUCUUAUCGUCGCUCUGAUACCAAAUGAUAAGACCCUAAAGUCUUAUCGUGGAAGAAAGGGGAGAAAUGGGGAUGAUAACGAUCGCUUCGAGGGAAUCGACCCUCGAUCACUUCAAGGGGAUCGGCCCUCCUUGAUCGCUUCGAGGGAAUCGGCCUCCUAAGGUUUGUCAAAAGACAGAAUAGUAUUUUUCAUAGAUAACUGAAAAGAAGUAGUUACAUCCCUAUUUAUAGAGUUCCACCCAAAGUCCAUUAGGACUUGAACUCUAAUAAUAAAUAAAUAUUAAAUAAACCUCUACUUGACUCUAACUGAACUAAACCGACUCAAUAAAUAACUAGACUAAACAAACUCAACAAACAUUAUUCAAAAGCUCAGAAAAAGGGUCCUAACAGUUCCUCUCUCUUCAAAUCAUCCUUGUCCUCGAGACUGAGCAGCAUCAAUCUCGGGGAGCUUCUCUUUCAGCACUUCCAUCAUAGGCUAUCUGCAACGCAUCACCACCCGUUGAUCAAGUAAGUAUGGUCUCCACUUUUUGACAGUGUAAGCAACAGGUCGAUCUUUUAGUGUAGUAAUCAUUGCAAGAAACUCCUGGCCUUUACUAUCACAAGUUAAAAUCCGUCCAUCAGUAAUCUUUAUUUCGAAUCUGUCACAGCCUUCAAUGCAGUAAGCUAAUCGGGCUGCAAUUUUCCUAUCCAUAAAAUUAUUAGUGCUGCACGUAUCAAUCAACAUAGUGACAGGCUGAUGCUUCAAAGUUCCUCUGAUUUUCAUAGUUUGUGGGUUAGCAUAGCUAGCCAAUGCAUGCACUGUAUGUGUGAUGGCUUCAAUAUCUUCAUCAGUUUCCACACCUUCAUAAUCGGAGUCCAACUCUUCUGCUUUCGGUUCCUCUCCAAUUGGCUCAAUUAUCAUAUGUUGCCCUUGUUUACAUUGGUGCUCCAUACUCCAUUUUUCAUCAUAAUACAAAUCCCUUGCUGAUCUUUCCUUGCUAAUUUUUUUCUCAUGUAGAUUUGCAAAUGAGAUCGCAGCUAUUAUAGUACGGGGUUGACGAGCCUUAACUUCACACCGGAUCUCUGGAAUAAGCCCUUCAAUAAAUGUAUCCAGAAGUUGUCGAUCCGACCAAUCUCUAGCUUGAUUUGACAAUAUUUCAAACCUACUCUGAUAUUCUAACACUGUAGAGGUCUGAUGAAUUUUGGCGAGCUAGCAAUCAACAUUCUCAUAUUCGGAUGGGCCAAAGCGAACAAGAAGCCCUCUUUUGAACUGCUCCCACGAAGGAACUCCGUGGAAAGUUUCAUACCAAUCGUACCACUGGUGUGCAUCUCCCUCGAGCUAGAUUGAGGCCACUUCUACCUUGGAUUCUUCUGGGGUUCUGUGAAAACGGAAAAAAAUUUCUGCCUUAGAGAUCCAAUUGGUCAGAUCUCCAUCUUUCCAUCUCGAAAAUUCUAUCUUCAUGUGUGAGUAAUUUGUGUCACAAUCUUGGGGCCCUUUUCCUGUAUUUUCAGAUAUGUGCAACGUAGAACUUGAGCCCCCAUUUUGUUAAAAUUUGCUAAGGCUCUCUAGUAGGCUCUUUUUGAAAUCAUUAAGUGUUUCUUGCAGUCGGUUCUCAAUUCUGAUUUCCAAUGCUUCCAUUUGUGCUUUCACCGAGUUAUCAGUGGCCCUUGCGUAAGACUGCAAAUCUGUAAUCUUAACUCCUGUUUUUGGUGUCGGUUAAGGGCAUCAACACUGUCAAUGCGAAGUUGCCGAGGAGGUGGACGCCAAGGGCAAUGCUGCGGUCGCUGCGUUGGAGGAAGAGUAGCUGCCCUGUUUCUAUCGCUGCGUGAGGUGAGAGCGCCGGGGUCGGAAGGCGACUGCGUUGAUGUGGCUGUAGCUGCUGCGACCCAAGGGGCGAUCGCCGAGCAACGGGGUUGAGGCUGCAGUGAUGGCAACCUGUGGUGAUGGCAACCUGUGGUUGUGGCAGAAUAUGCUAAGUAAGGGGGAGGCGGCGUUGAUGCGGCCGAGGUUAAGAAGAGGAAUCGGUGUUACGUGCGCUGCUGGGGUUAAGGCAAGGUAGCGUACUUGCUGCGGUUGCUGCGUUCGCUGUUGGAGGGCGGCUACUGCAGAACGAGGGGUUGGUCGUUGGCCGAGAGCGACGAUGGUGGUUACAAUCGGCAGCUACGACAACAGAGGGUGCCACUGUUUUUGUUGCUGCGUACUCUGUUUUUGUCGCACCACCGAAGGAGUUGGCCGGAAGGAUCACGAGCAAUUGAGGAGAAGGCUGCGGUGGCUGGCAGCAGCGGAGGUCGCUGGCCGGAGCACAGCGUUGGCGGUGGAGAAAAAGGCAACGAGCAUCGUCGCUGGCCGGGAAGUUGCGAUGUUAGAGAUGGGAAACAAGGUGCACUGUUUCUAUCGCACCACAGCCGGAGCCGCUGGCGAUGCUGGCAACAGCGGUGCGGUGGUGAUCGUGCGGCCGAGAAGCAACGACAACGGUGGAGAAGGAGGAGUCGGCGGUGUCACGGUUGGGAACAAGGGCAACCGGUGAGUUGCCCUGUUUCUGGCACUACAGAUGCAGAGCAAGGAGGAUCAGCUGCUGGGAGGCGAGCGGCGGUCGUCGCACGGUGGCCCGCAGCGAUGAUGGGUCGGCUGGGCGACGAUGGCGCUGGAGGGGAAGAGGAGUGCUGGAGGCGGCACGGCUGGUGGAGGCGCGGCUACGAUCGACGAGGGGCUGCGGCAAUAGAGUAACUCUGUUUCUGCAACCGUUGCAAUGAGGGGCUGCGGCAACCGGCGGCUGCGGCUGCGACCCAAGGGGGGGGCACGACUAGGGUUGCGGCUGGGAGGCGGGCGAAGGUGAUCGAUCGGCCGGGAAGCAGCGGCGACGGUGGAGAAGGAGUUGCCCUGCAGCGGCGGUAGAGAAGAGGAGCAGGGCUGCGGCGGAGUGAGACGCUGGCAGCGUCGUCUCCUGGCAGCGGUGGUGGCUCGGGUGGGAGGUGGCGGUGGACUCUGGCCGGAAGUGGGGCAGAGUCGGUUGCUGCCUGGAGAGCAGCGACGGGCGACAGGUGGGCUAGCCGGAAGCAGGGGAAGCAGGGGUGCGUGGCUACGAGUGCGUGGCUGCGGUUGCUGCUUCUUCUUCUUUCUUUCUUUCUUUCUUUCUUUUUUUUUUUUUUUUUUUUUUUUUUUUGAUAGCUUCGUUGCAGCGAGAACGUCAAGGAUCGCUGCUCUGAUACCAAAUGAUAAGACCCUAAAGUCUUAUCGUAGACUCUGAUACCAAUUGAUAAGACCCUAAAGUCUUAUCGUCACUCUGAUACCAAAUGAUAAGACCCUAAAGGUCUUAUCGUCGCUCUGAUACCAAAUGAUAAGACCCUAAAGUCUUAUCGUCGCUCUGAUACCAAAUGAUAAGACCUUAAAGUCUUAUCGUGGAAGAAAUGGGAGAAAUAAGGAUAAUAACGAUCCCCUCGAAGUGAUCAAGGAGGGCCGAUCCCCUCGAAGCGAUCAAGGAGGCCGAUCCCCUCGAAGCAAUCAUUAUCAUCCUCAUUUCUCCCCUUUCUUCGAUGGUCUUAUCAUUUGGUAUCAGAGCCUACAAUAAGACUUUAGGGUCUUAUCAAAAAAUACAUAUGAUUAUACUUUAAUCAUAAAAUUAUG